GGUUAUGGGGUGGCUGUUUUUCUACGUGGAACAAGCAGGGUCCCAGUUCAAGUUUCUGCUGCGUAUCUGAUAAUCUUGAGGUAUUUAUGAAGGACUCCUUUGAAAGUUCUCUACUGAGUUUCCUUAAGGAAUUCCUUAAGGAAUCCUUAAGGUAUUAUUCAAUCCAGGUUUAAGUCCUUCAGCAUCUGACAUUCUCCUGGCAACUGUAAUUCAAUCAAUGAUGACUCAUCUGAGAUGAGCAAGUUGGUCCAGUCAGACCAAACAAAAGACACUCUAUAAUCAGGGGAGAAGUCUUCUCUAUAUCUUUCUUAUAUGAGCAAAUUUAAUGACCUCCACCAUGUCUAAGAACAAGCAGCUAUUUCUGUAGAGAAAGAUCACCUUUGGAUAACAAUACAUGAUUUUAGGCUCUAAAAGUUAAAACGUGUUUGUAACGUUGAUAUUAUGCAGAGGUCUUGACAGAACUUAGCAGUCUCUGAGGCUACAGAGAAGUGUGAAAAAGAGCAUAGAGAUUUCAGAAGGAGGCAGAUUCAGUCAGACAUACUGAAUCCUGUUUGAUCUCAAUUCAGGCACACUCCAGAUGGAU
RNAcentral lists this non-coding RNA (583 nucleotides) under Pongo abelii (Sumatran orangutan). The record is from RNAcentral. Lineage: Eukaryota; Metazoa; Chordata; Mammalia; Primates; Hominidae.